RNAcentral lists this long non-coding RNA (460 nucleotides) under Homo sapiens (human). RNAcentral's name for it is "non-protein coding lnc-LSMEM1-8:2". The record is from RNAcentral. Lineage: Eukaryota; Metazoa; Chordata; Mammalia; Primates; Hominidae.
CGGGGCCAUACUCUGAAAGAGGUAGCUUGGCGACAGACAAAUUUUCUAAGAGAGACAGUAUGGGGAGAAGAAAAGGCAAAGGUCCAAGACUCAAAAAAUGAAUGAAUGUUAAAACAUCAGAAGAGCAAGAUAAACGAGUUAAGAAGAUGGCACAGGAGCCGCAGAGAGGUGGAAGAUGGCUUGGAAGAGUGAAAACAGUUUUGCUGAGGACAGAAGAGAUGAGGUGGGGAUGGUCCAUGAAGAUGAAUGACUGCUUCCUAAGACACUGUGGCGAGGAGGCUGUGGAAAGAUGGCAGCAGCAGACUGUGGAGAGAAGUCAAUUCACUGUGAGUGGUCAGACAAUACCUGAACCAAGAAGACACAUGGGACAACCUCUUGGGAACAGAAAGUUCAGAAAAGGGCUAAGAAAUAGGAUGGAGAUAGGGAUACUCAAUGAUCUAGUCAUAAGGGAUCAAAAUGG